This 30-nucleotide non-coding RNA is filed under the name Mus musculus (house mouse). The record is from RNAcentral. Lineage: Eukaryota; Metazoa; Chordata; Mammalia; Rodentia; Muridae.
UCUCUUAGGGACCUACACUCGGGCAAAACU